CAUUAUUUAUAAUAGGCCCUGGAAACAACCCAGAUGUCUCAGUGGGCAAAUGGUUAAACAAACUGUGGUGCAUCUAGACCUUGGACUACUACCCAGCAAUAAAAAGGGAGCAAACCAUGGAUACACACAAAACUUGGAUGGAUUUCAAGUGAAAAAGCCAAUCCCAAAGAAUUACGUAUGUUAUGAUUUUAUUUAUAUAACGUUCUUGAAACCAUAAAAUUAGUGUGAGAGAGUAUAGUUUAGUGAUUGGCAGGGGUUAGGGCCAGGGGGUGGAGGAUGGAAGGAGAGGGAAAUAGAUUAUGUUACAAAAAGGCAACAUAAGAGAUGGUGAUUGAUAUACAAACCUCCACAUGUGAUAAAAUGGCAUAGAAUUAAAUACACGUGCACGUGCACACACACACACACACACACACACACAGAGUAAAUGUAAGACAGGAGGGAAAUCUGAUCAAGAUCUAUGGAUUGUACCAUCAAUUUCCUAGUUGUAAUAUUGCACAUACUAGAGUUUUGUAAGAUGUUACCAUUGGAAGGAAACUGUGGAUAAAAGACACAUUGUAUCUCUCUGUAUUAUUUCUUACAACCCGAUGUGAAUCUAUAAUUACCUCUAUUUAAUUAAAUUGUAAAAAGUUAAAUGGAAUCUAACUAAUAUUCUCAUGAUAUAGUUGUUAACCCUGUACAGAAAAAGAACCCAAGUAUGAAGCCAAAGAAAGAGCAGUGGUGAAGCCUGAAAAAAGCUCAAAGCGCGGGACAAAGGCAGAGCUGGAGCUGUUCCUGCACCUGUGGGUGUAUGGGGAGCAGGGGAGAGAAGGUAUCAGCACAGGUCAUUUUUAGGGUGCCAGGGCAGGGUUGAGGAGGGAGUUCUUAGCAGUAGAAACCCACUGUGUGCUAACAGCAGUGAGGAGAGUCCUAGCAGCAAGGGUGGGAACAGAUAGGCAGCUUCCAAUGGGUGCCCAAGGUCCAAGCAUGAGUUUUUUUUUAACUCUAGAAACCCAAACAUACACUAUUUGAUAAAACUAAAAUUACUUUAGCUGCUGGAAGCAAAUCUGUGUUUUUUGUGAUCGAUUCAAACCACAGAUAGAGCAGGGGAUUGUCUUUCGGUAGGUGUGAAUGGGGCUGUAUUAGUCACCAGAGUUUCAAGUGUGCUUCUGUUUAGUUAUCAAACUGCAAUUCCAUUGAUACCCCGUCUUGAGUGUCUCCUCUGUGAGUAACAUGAAAAGGACCUCUGGUUAAAUAGAAAACUUGUCUUGAAUUUGGAAUUACAACAUGCCCUUACUUAUUCAGGACUCAAUUAACUGAGCUUCAGGAUAAUCCAAGGUGAAGAAAAACAAGAGCUGACAAAGAAAAGAAAUGGUGCUGCUGGGUUAGGGUCUCCCCAACUGAGCUGGUCUCAGCAAGUGGCGUCCAUUCGUGGGAGCUUGAAUCCAGGUCGAAGGGUCACCGGAGCAAUGGUUGGAAUGGAAAACUAGCUGGAGGACACCCGAGUACUCUAAAAGCAAUCCCCAUGGCCAAAAUCAACAGCCAAUUUGGAUACCAUCAAGACACCUGAAACCUUAUCAUGAGCCAGAUGCCAAGGAAGAGAUUCGGGAGGAUCCUGAGGACCCCCCGGUUGCAGCCAUGUUGAGACUGAUGCUGAGGAGGACCCCAACUGUCACGAGCAACACCCGUCGACCACAGCCACCCACCUGGGGACAGAUCAAGAAGCUGUCACAGAUGGCGGAGGAAAGCGGAACAACCAGUCACAAUGAAUAAUUUAAUGGUAGCUAUGAUAGUGGUUAUCACCACUGCCGUGAGUAUUCCUACAAUAAGGGCUGGUAAUAACGCCUGGAUGCAAUCACUCUAUGACACAGUUACAUAUGCUUUCUGAUCUCAGUAUUUACCAUAAUAAAUCUGCUCCUAUAAUUGAGGCAUACCACCCUUAAAAACCUAUUUGUAAACAGGAUUGGACCCAGUUAGAAAAAAUGAACACAAUUGUUUAGGAAGAUUGCCUUGCAGAACAGGCAGAGAUGCUGCACAACGAUUCCUAUGGAAUCAUUAUUAAUUGGUCCCCUAAGGGGAUGUUUAGCUUGAAUUGCACCUCUCAGUCUGCGUGCCACAGUCACACUAUGUUUAGAUGAUCUGAACAAAACAGUCAGAUGGUAGAAAUGUUAAGAAGUACGGCAAA
This 2161-nucleotide long non-coding RNA is filed under the name Homo sapiens (human). Its description in RNAcentral is "HSALNT0296775". The record is from RNAcentral. Lineage: Eukaryota; Metazoa; Chordata; Mammalia; Primates; Hominidae.